AGCGAACGCUGGCGGCAGGCCUAACACAUGCAAGUCGAACGAACUCUUCGGAGUUAGUGGCGGACGGGUGAGUAACACGUGGGAACGUGCCUUUAGGUUCGGAAUAACUCAGGGAAACUUGUGCUAAUACCGAAUGUGCCCUUCGGGGGAAAGAUGUAUCGCCUUUAGAGCGGCCCGCGUCUGAUUAGCUAGUUGGUGAGGUAAAGGCUCACCAAGGCGACGAUCAGUAGCUGGUCUGAGAGGAUGAUCAGCCACAUUGGGACUGAGACACGGCCCAAACUCCUACGGGAGGCAGCAGUGGGGAAUCUUGCGCAAUGGGCGAAAGCCUGACGCAGCCAUGCCGCGUGAAUGAUGAAGGUCUUAGGAUUGUAAAAUUCUUUCACCGGGGACGAUAAUGACGGUACCCGGAGAAGAAGCCCCGGCUAACUUCGUG
This 433-nucleotide ribosomal RNA is filed under the name uncultured bacterium. Its description in RNAcentral is "partial 16S ribosomal RNA". It matches the Rfam family "Bacterial small subunit ribosomal RNA", at positions 29 to 507 of the family's 1533-position model. The record is from RNAcentral.